ACGCUGGCGGUGUGCCUUAGCAUGCAAGUCGAACGAGNUCCCUUCGGGGUGACAGUGGCGAACGGGUGAGUACAACACAGGAACAUACCUUUAAGUGGGGAACAAUCCCGCGAAAGCGGGACUAAUACCGCAUGUGUUCCGCCUCUGGCGGAAUAAAGGACAUAACUGUCCGCNUUAAAGAGUGGCCUGUGCGCUAUCAGCUAGUUGGUGGGGUAAUUGCCCACCAAGGCUACGACGGCUAGGGGGCGUGAGAGCGCGACCCCCCACAAGGAGACUGAGAUACGGCUCCUACACCUACGGGUGGCAGCAACUGGGAAUCUUGCGCAAUGGGCGAAAGCCUGACGCAGCGACACCGCGUGGAGGAAGAAGGCCUUCGGGUUGUAAACUUCUUUUAUGGGAAGAAAAAAAUGACGGUACCAUAUGAAUAAGCACCUGCUAACUACGUGCCAGAAGCCUCGGUAAUACGUAGGGUGCAAGCGUUAUCCGGAAUUAUUGGGCGUAAAGAGUAUCGUAGGCUGUCUUAUAAGUGUGUAGUGAAAUCUCUCAGCUUAACUGGGAAAUUGCUACACAUACUGUUUGACUAGAGGACGCUAGAGGAUGCUGGAAUUCUCGGUGGAGCAGUGAAAUGCGUUGAUAUCGAGAGGAACACCAAGGGCGAAGGCAAGCAUCUGGGGCGUUUCUGACGCUGAUGAACGAAAGCUAGGGGAGCAAAAGGGAUUAGAGACCCCUGUAGUCCUAGCCGUAAACAUUGUUCACUAGUUGCCCCGCU
RNAcentral lists this ribosomal RNA (769 nucleotides) under uncultured bacterium. Its description in RNAcentral is "bacterial SSU rRNA". It matches the Rfam family "Bacterial small subunit ribosomal RNA", at positions 33 to 829 of the family's 1533-position model. The record is from RNAcentral.